RNAcentral lists this ribosomal RNA (801 nucleotides) under uncultured bacterium. RNAcentral describes it as "bacterial SSU rRNA". It matches the Rfam family "Bacterial small subunit ribosomal RNA", at positions 70 to 848 of the family's 1533-position model. The record is from RNAcentral.
UAAGGCCCCUUCGGGGGUACACGAGUGGCGCACGGGUGAGUAACGCGUGGGUAAUCUGCCCUCUGGUCUGGGACAACUCCGGGAAACUGGAGCUAAUACCGGAUGAGCCCACAGGGUCCACGGGCCUGGUGGGAAAAGGUGGCCUCUCCUUGGAAGCUACCGCGAGAGGAUGAGCCCGCGUCCCAUUAGCUUGUUGGUAGGGUAACGGCCUACCAAGGCGACGAUGGGUAGCUGGUCUGAGAGGAUGAUCAGCCACACUGGAACUGAGACACGGUCCAGACUCCUACGGGAGGCAGCAGUCGGGAAUUUUGGACAAUGGGGGCAACCCUGAUCCAGCAAUGCCGCGUGGGUGAAGAAGGCUCGCGGGUUGUAAAGCCCUUUCAGUAGCGAGGAAAAGCUGAUGGUUAAUACCCAUCAGUCUUGACGUUAACUACAGAAGAAGCACCGGCUAACUCUGUGCCAGCAGCCGCGGUAAUACAGAGGGUGCGAGCGUUAAUCGGAAUUACUGGGCGUAAAGCGCGCGUAGGUGGUUUGAUCAGUCGGAUGUGAAAGCCCCGGGCUUAACCUGGGAAUUGCAUUCGAUACUGUCAGGCUAGAGUAUGGUAGAGGGAAGUGGAAUUCCAGGUGUAGCGGUGAAAUGCGUAGAUAUCUGGAGGAACAUCAGUGGCGAAGGCGACUUCCUGGACCAAUACUGACACUGAGGUGCGAAAGCGUGGGGAGCGAACAGGAUUAGAUACCCUGGUAGUCCACGCCGUAAACGAUGUCAACUAUGUGUUGGGGGACUUUGAGCCCUUAGUAUCG